CAGAGACAGGCAGGAUUUCAAAGUGGCACAGGAGACGUUUGGGAGUUUUGCAUAUGCACCAGCAAGGCUCUUGGAUCAAGCCCUACAGCAGAAAGCAAGCAGUAUGUGGUGCCGUGGAAGCAAGAUGCUAAGAAAAUACACCUGCGAACAGUGAUGUAUCAAUGGCUGGAGCGAGACAGGAGAGGAGGAACAGGAGGAGGAGAGUGAGAGAAACUGAUUGCCAACCUUAGUCCAGUGAAAACUUUGCUCCGAUAAUAUUUCCUUGGCCUGACCAAUCCAGAUCAACAAUCCUCUUCUUUGGUGAUUGAAUAAGGGAAGAAGCUCUGCUGGGUGACCUUGAACACAUCACUUCACUUCCUUGAGCUUCAAUAUACCUGCCAUCAAAUGGGAACAAUCAUGUUUACCUCCCUGAAUAGUCAAGAGGAUUAAAUUAAAUAGUGAGGAAAUGUUUGUGCAUUCCAAAUCACCGGCUGAUACAAACACUCAAAGACAAGGGAGAAGGAAACAUAAACAAGGAAACAGAAACAUCCUGUCAACCUGCCCAAAGUGUGCUAAUUACAUUUAAGUCAGCACUGGGUACCAGAUAUAUAUUGGGCUCAUAUUCAUUCCU
This 610-nucleotide long non-coding RNA is filed under the name Homo sapiens (human). RNAcentral's name for it is "HSALNT0370851". Lineage: Eukaryota; Metazoa; Chordata; Mammalia; Primates; Hominidae. The record is from RNAcentral.